UCCCGCGCACGGCACACACCGCCAGCUGCAUCCCACCCAAACCCCCUCCGAUACUCCGGCGGUUGCCGGAAGCACCAGGCCGCCGCCGGCGGGGGCUGCCGCGAAUCCCUUUCCAGCCGCCAUGUACAGCUCCUACUCCGCCGCCGCUUUCGCGCUCAGGGCAGCUAAGCCGUCCUUGCACGCCCAUUCCUCCUACUCCUACUCCUACCUCCCCUCCCACCACUGCCACCGCGACGACGCCGACGAGCACCGCCGCCGCCGCCACCACCACCACGAGCUCCUCCAGCAGAGCCCGUACCUCGCCCCACGCUUCCUGCUCGACGGCUGCCUGCUCCGCCAUUCGGCCCACCUCCUGCUGCUCUCCGCGGGGCUCCGUCCCGCGCCGCCGACGCACCCGCAUCCGCCCCGAUGCUGCCGCCGGCGAGCGUCUGCGAGCUGCUGCUGCGUCGGCGGCAGCGUGAGGCCGGUGGCUGGACAGGUUUCGUGGCAGGUGGAGGCGCGCGGGUGCCGGUGCUGCGGCCACGGCGCUGAGAGGCCGGAUCUUCCGGCGGUUUGCCGGCGAUUGGAGGCGGGCAGGUGCCGUCGCGGUGGCUCCGGAGGUGGGAGGUUGCUUGGAGCUGGUUUUGGACGGCGGGAUGCACCGAGGUUGGUAGGGAGGGCAGUACGGCAGGAGGUGUGGGAGUACGAGGGGGGCGAGUGGCCGCGCAGGAGGUAUUUGACGGAAUGCCAUGAUGAUUGGGAGGACGAAGAGGACUGUGAUCGUGGUCAGUUGGAGGUUGUGCGUUUAGUUAGGAGGAGAAGGGAAGAUGAUGAUGAUGACGAUGACGAUGUCUGUCGAUGUAGGGAUUGUGUUUGGAGAAAGGGCCUGGGAAGCUAUUACAGUGGUGAGGAUGCGUACAAUGGCCGGCGGAGGGAGAGAAGAGAUGUGGAUGAGGACCGGCGCAGUUUCAGGGAUUCUGACCGGAGGCGGCGGCAGCAGAGGGGGUACCAUGACGACGAGGAUGAUCUUGACUUGAGGCGGCAGAGGCAGAGAUGGGAAGGGAGAGAUAAGAGGGAUUUUGACUUCGAUGAUGCAGUAGACACGAGGAGUAGAAGGUACCGUGGUGAUGGAAGGGAAUAUGACCGGAGAAGAGAAAGGAGAGACUUUGACUCCGAUGAUACGAUUGAUAUCAGGAGGGCUAGUCAGCAUGCUGAGGAUGUACGGAAAUCUGAUCGGAGAAAAGGGAGUAGGAUUGAGAUUGAUGAUAAGGUUGAUGACAGGAGAGAAGGGAGGCGCUUUAGCAAUGAUGAUUACAGAUAUGUUUUGAGACACGAGAGAAGUGAAGAUGCUGAUGGAGAGGAUGUUUCACUCUUGAGAUCACAUCAUCGGAAUAACGAAGAGAUUGAUUAUGAUGAGCAAGACCUUGCUGAGCGCAGGUACUACUCUGGAGGGAGGUCUCAGAAGUCUGCCAGAGCAACUUCAUUCCAUGAGGAUGAUUCAAAGAGGGCUUCAAGUUCGAGAAGCACAGUUGAGGCAAGACGUGCAAGGCAGGAGGAGAAUUCAUCCUCAAGGGUGAGGUUGCAUGACAAUGUAGACCGACGAACUGAGCAGACAUAUGAAGAGAGAAACCAACGGCAUUCGGUCGGUCGGUCAAAAGAUGAGAGAGAUACAUAUGAUUAUGAUGAUGCACGGUUUGUCAGAGUAACGGAUGCUAGGACAAAUACGCAAGAUGUCAAGGUUAUAACUGAGGAUGAUUCUAAAUUGACAUCCAGUUCAAAGAACACGUCCAUUUUGAAGCACAGCAGCAAUGUAGAUCAGCAAGCUACAGUACAUAAGGAUGAAUCAAGGAAGAGCUCGCAGAAGAUAAUGGAGAUAUCAGAAGUCCAAGAUUAUCGCACUGAACAUGGUUCUAGCUCACAGAAUUAUCAUCAGGAAGAUAGAGGAAACUAUAUUGAGAAUAGAUCUUCUGUUCAAAAUUCUGCGAAGAUGGCUAGCGACUGUAGAAGACAAGUUGAUCAGGAGAGCCUCAUAAAUGUAACAACUGAUAGCAGUCACAAUGUCAGCAGUGCCUCUCACUCACAGAGAAAUUAUGAUGAAGUAAACCAGACGGAUAUUGAUGGCAGAUCUACUUCCUUACAGAAUAUAAUUCACGUUACAAGAGAUAAGAAGAGGAUUGUGAACCAGCAAGUAAUACAUGAAACAGAUAUAGACGUACAGAAUAUUACACAUGUUGAUGUUUCGAAGAUUCGUGCUAGUGAUACUUCCACGUCUAGAAGUUCACAAAGUCACUCAGAAACUAAAUCAGAUGUGAACCCAACUUCCAACAUGAGUUUCAUUAAUAGCACAAGGAGCCAGGAAAAGGAAGUGUACCAAAAUAAGAUCUUUGCUAGUAAUAGUGCCAUGGUUAGGGGUUCACAAAGUCAUCUCGGUUCUGGACUUUAUGAUCAGUUUCACUCAACGUCAUCUACUAAUAUUGCUGACAACAGAAAGGAAAGUCAAGAACAAGUUGAACUUAAUAUUGCCAAUGCUAGUAAUGCUGUUGUAGCCAGCACUUCGGGCAGUCAUCUCCAAACCAGAGUUGAUGAUCAGUUUCAGUCGACUUCAGAUGUAAAUACAAUUGGCAGUAGGAAAGAACAAAUUGAUCCUGCUAAGAUCCAUGCUAGUGAUGCUGCAGUUGUUAGCAGCUCACAAGGUCUUGUGACUAGAAAUGGCAAUCAAGUUCAUACGGCAUCAGCUGUACAUUGGCCAAGGGAGAAACAAGUAAACAAUGAUAAGCAAAUUACACAAGUUUCUAGUACAGAACGAAAUGAUGAACUAGGAAGAAAAUUUUCUGAAACCUCUCAUGAUUCAAGAGAUAGGAUGGUAAGAUCAGAAGAUACACAUGAUAACAUGGAUUUGAUCUGGCUACAGGCAGACACCAGCGGGAUCUCUGAUGACAAAGGCAUCACUGGUCUACUGUUAGAGAGCACUGGACAGGGAUCAUCUAUGGUUACUGCAGAUAUGGCACAAGGAGCAGAAGUAAUGGGAAGAAAUGGACAAGAAGUAAGAACUGAAACUACUGCAGGAAUUAUCAUGCCAAGUGGUUCAAGUUCCGGGCAGUCUGUCAAGGAAAGCAUGCUAGAGUCAGCUGCUCGAUUAGAGAAAUCUUCUACCUUUCAUGUUGGAAGGUUUGUUGAUGAGCUUCAAAAGGGAGUCUCAGAUGCAGACAAUACAACAAAGAAUCAUGAGAAAUCCAUAGUGGAAGGUACAACACGCUCUUCAUCAAGGUCUAGAAUGAAGGGACCAGCUGAUGAGAUGUGGGAUGUCCAUAGUACUACUUCUCAAGAGACCUUCAAGACAGCCGACAAGGAGGAAGGUUCAUCAGCUGAUGGAGCUACUAAUUCGGCCUCCCAGACACCCAAAAAUGAAUCUGCUCUUGCUAGAAAAGUUCACAGGUCACUCUGGGCUUAUGUUGCUGACAUAAUCCGUCUUGGAUGGAUUCAACGUGGCGACUCUCAUGAUUCUAGUGACAAAUCAGUUAAAAAAAGUUCAUCCAGUAAUUCUCAGAGUACAGAGGGUUGGCUUUCUAGUCAGGAACGUGAUACUGAAAGCACAAGGAAGAAAAAUAAAGCAAAAGAUCAGCAGUUGAUAAUGUCACACAGCGGAGAAUCAGAACCUGGAGUGGCUUCAAUGUCAAAGGAGGAAUAUUUUCACUCUGGUACACAGGAACUGCGAAUAUCAGAAACUGUUAUUGAACCUAAAGUACGUAGAUCUGAGGGAGACUUGUUGGCUGGAAGUUCUAAGGAUGAUCUACAUGUAUCAGAGGAGAGAAUAAAACAAUCUGAUGUAGGUGAAUCACCCGAAGGAAAUAUCAUAGAUGAUAGCACACCGACUUUGAUAGAUGUCACAAUAGGACAUUUACCAGAACAUAAAACUGCUACUUCAUCCAGGAUCACAACAAAGGGUUCAGGUGAGUUUAAUACUGGUAAAGGAAUGUUGGCUGGCAGCUCUUCUGUGACCAUAGGUGCAACGGAAGCUGGUCGCAGUGGUGAUGGAGCUGAUUGGAUAUAUAAUCCUUCAGGUGUUAUAACUCCUUAUCGUCACCCUCAAACACAAGCAGUAGUGCCACACGAAAGUACCUCAACUAGCAUCCAUGAACCACCAGCAUUACCUGUGGGAGGUAUAAGGUUUGAAGAGAAGAAUGUUGUGCAAGAGGCUCCGGAAAUUAUUAAAACAGGGGGGAAAGAUGCGGAAUUGAAGAGGAGGAAUUUUCAAAGAAAUAAACAGGUAUUGAAGGAAACAUUUGAUGAAUGGGAGGAAGCAUACCAGCGUGAUGCUGAGCAGAGGAAGGCUGAUGAGUUAUUCAUGAGGGAAGCUUUACUUGAAGCCCAGAGAGCUGCAGAUAUUUGGGAGGUACCUGUUGGAGCAGUGCUAGUACAAAACGGCGAAAUUAUUGCUCGUGGCUGUAAUUUAGUUGAAGAUCUCAGGGAUUCAACUGCACAUGCUGAAAUUGUUUGUAUAAGAGAAGCUUCUAACAAACUCAAGACAUGGCGCUUGGCGGAGACAACGCUUUACGUGACACUGGAACCUUGUGCCAUGUGCGCUGGAGCAAUUCUUCAAGCUAGAAUCGACACUGUAGUAUGGGGUGCCCCAAACAAGCUUCUUGGAGCCGAUGGCAGCUGGGUUAGGUAUGUUAUACCAGCAUGAAAUUUUAUACCAAUCCACUUUUGUAGUUUAGGAUCUUUAAUCUUUGAAGCGCGACUGCAGAUAUUUGGGAGAUAAUAUGGUUGAAGCAAUGCAGAAUGCACCAGUGACAUAUGGCUAUAUGUAUGGAACAGAUAAACUAUCGAAAUAUUAUUUUAUUAUAGAAAACAAUAAAAAUACUGUCAUAGGAUAAGAACACUAAUAGGGUUCUAACCUGCAAAUAAUGGCAGAGUUACACAUAAGACCUUGCAAAUCUCGGGUGGGACCUAGGUAAAUCCAACCAACCAUACACUAAUGUCAAGCAACAACAGAAUGGUGGAUGUCAUGGGGAAAACUAGUUAGAUCACGGCAGAAAUUAGAUAUAGGGCCUGGUCAUGGGCGUGGCUGCUAUUGCAUGCUGUAUAUGCUGACUGCAACCAAGAGGCCUGGCCAAUAACAGAAUAGUGUCCUAGUUGAAAGGAGAUGGAGUUGCCUCUUCCUUCUUCAACAACAAUUAGCAUCUGCAGCAAAGGCUGUUCCCUGGGGAUGGACAAACAAGCACUCUGGACUCAGCAAACCAGAGUCAGUCCGCGGGGCCUAUCCAUCCUUUCCAUCCGAAGAUAACCAUCAGACGUGGUGUGUUGUCGGCAGAGUGCUCGGAGAUAAUGCAACAGUUCUUCCAGCUGAGGCGGCGGAAGAAGCAGAAGGCGCAGUCGCCACCGCGCGCCCACCACCAGGGGCACCACCAUCCUGUCAAGUUCUUCAGUAAGAUGCACCACAUGUUUGGCACCAUCUUCUGUCUGUAGUAGCUUUGCCUCUCUUUUUUCAGUUUUCCAAUUUUCCGUAUUACAAAAGUCUAGGGUUAAUGUAUUUCGUUCUGUGCGGUAAGUGGUUUCCACUGAGAGCUUGUAGGUAUCAGUUAGUAUUGUGAGAUGAGGGAACCAUCGUCAGCAGUUGUAUUUCCUUGUGCUAAUAAGGGCUGGAGCUGGUAUUCCAAUGUGCAGACGCCAGGUGCGCUGUAUGCGCUUGUUGCA
Panicum virgatum (switchgrass) is the source of this 5676-nucleotide RNA transcript. It is a transcript of the gene named tRNA(adenine(34)) deaminase, chloroplastic-like, with no coding region annotated. NCBI's taxonomy places the organism in Eukaryota, Viridiplantae, Streptophyta, Magnoliopsida, Poales, Poaceae. The record is from RefSeq and is a predicted model, not a curated record. The transcript has 4 exons.